RNAcentral lists this ribosomal RNA (933 nucleotides) under Psychrobacillus sp. Its description in RNAcentral is "bacterial SSU rRNA". It matches the Rfam family "Bacterial small subunit ribosomal RNA", at positions 76 to 992 of the family's 1533-position model. The record is from RNAcentral. Lineage: Bacteria; Bacillati; Bacillota; Bacilli; Caryophanales; Bacillaceae.
AAGCUUGCUUCUUCUGAUUUAGCGGCGGACGGGUGAGUAACACGUGGGCAACCUGCCCUGUAGAUUGGGAUAACUCCGGGAAACCGGGGCUAAUACCGAAUAAUCCAUUUCCUCACAUGAGGAAAUGUUAAAAGACGGUUUCGGCUGUCACUACCGGAUGGGCCCGCGGCGCAUUAGCUAGUUGGUGAGGUAACGGCUCACCAAGGCGACGAUGCGUAGCCGACCUGAGAGGGUGAUCGGCCACACUGGGACUGAAACACGGCCCAGACUCCUACGGGAGGCAGCAGUAGGGAAUCUUCCACAAUGGACGAAAGUCUGAUGGAGCAACGCCGCGUGAGUGAAGAAGGUUUUCGGAUCGUAAAACUCUGUUGUGAGGGAAGAACAAGUACGAGAGUAACUGCUCGUACCUUGACGGUACCUCAUUAGAAAGCCACGGCUAACUACGUGCCAGCAGCCGCGGUAAUACGUAGGUGGCAAGCGUUGUCCGGAAUUAUUGGGCGUAAAGCGCGCGCAGGCGGUCCUUUAAGUCUGAUGUGAAAGCCCACGGCUCAACCGUGGAGGGUCAUUGGAAACUGGGGGACUUGAGUGCAGAAGAGGAAAGCGGAAUUCCAAGUGUAGCGGUGAAAUGCGUAGAGAUUUGGAGGAACACCAGUGGCGAAGGCGGCUUUCUGGUCUGUAACUGACGCUGAGGCGCGAAAGCGUGGGGAGCAAACAGGAUUAGAUACCCUGGUAGUCCACGCCGUAAACGAUGAGUGCUAAGUGUUAGGGGUUUCCGCCCCUUAGUGCUGCAGCUAACGCAUUAAGCACUCCGCCUGGGGAGUACGGUCGCAAGACUGAAACUCAAAGGAAUUGACGGGGGCCCGCACAAGCGGUGGAGCAUGUGGUUUUAAUUUCGAAGCAACGCGAGAACCUUACCAGGUCUUGACAUCCCGC